AAAAAUCUAUUCCAUAGGGUACUAUUGAUUGCACAAUCAUUUUAACACUAACAGUUAAGAUAUUUCUCAGACAUUUAAAUGCAUACACAAUUUUCGAACUAACGGUAUAAGUUUAUCUAAGUGGACACUCCAUAUCAAAAAUUCAUCAAACUGUACACCUAAAUAUUUUACAGAGGAUGUUUACAUAAUUGAAGGGCAGAUGCAAUUAUUU
Non-coding RNA from Cinara cedri, 211 nucleotides. NCBI's taxonomy places the organism in Eukaryota, Metazoa, Arthropoda, Insecta, Hemiptera, Aphididae. The record is from the annotation of a GenBank genome assembly.